UGGGGAAUAUUGCACAAUGGGCGAAAGCCUGAUGCAGCAACGCCGCGUGAGUGAUGAAGGCCUUCGGGUUGUAAAGCUCUGUCUUUUGGGACGAUAAUGACGGUACCAAAGGAGGAAGCCACGGCUAACUACGUGCCAGCAGCCGCGGUAAUACGUAGGUGGCAAGCGUUGUCCGGAUUUACUGGGCGUAAAGGAUGCGUAGGCGGAUUUUAAGUGAGAUGUGAAAUACCCGGGCUUAACUUGGGUGCUGCAUUUCAAACUGGGAAUCUAGAGUGCGGGAGAGGAGAAUGGAAUUCCUAGUGUAGCGGUGAAAUGCGUAGAGAUUAGGAAGAACACCAGUGGCGAAGGCGAUUCUCUGGACCGUAACUGACGCUGAGGCAUGAAAGCGUGGGUAGCAAACAGGAUUAGAUACCCUGGUAGUCCACGCCGUAAACGAUGAGUACUAGGUGUAGGAGGUAUCGACCCCUUCUGUGCCGCAGUUAACACAAUCAAGUACUCCGCCUGGGAAGUACGAUCGCAAGAUUAAAAACUUGAAAUG
This 538-nucleotide ribosomal RNA is filed under the name uncultured bacterium. RNAcentral's name for it is "partial 16S ribosomal RNA". It matches the Rfam family "Bacterial small subunit ribosomal RNA", at positions 355 to 908 of the family's 1533-position model. The record is from RNAcentral.